RNAcentral lists this ribosomal RNA (254 nucleotides) under Escherichia coli. Its description in RNAcentral is "partial 16S ribosomal RNA". It matches the Rfam family "Bacterial small subunit ribosomal RNA", at positions 1 to 251 of the family's 1533-position model. The record is from RNAcentral. Lineage: Bacteria; Pseudomonadati; Pseudomonadota; Gammaproteobacteria; Enterobacterales; Enterobacteriaceae.
AAAUUGAAGAGUUUGAUCAUGGCUCAGAUUGAACGCUGGCGGCAGGCCUAACACAUGCAAGUCGAACGGUAACAGGAAGCAGCUUGCUGUUUCGCUGACGAGUGGCGGACGGGUGAGUAAUGUCUGGGAAACUGCCUGAUGGAGGGGGAUAACUACUGGAAACGGUAGCUAAUACCGCAUAACGUCGCAAGACCAAAGAGGGGGACCUUCGGGCCUCUUGCCAUCGGAUGUGCCCAGAUGGGAUUAGCUUGUUG